UUAUUGCCUUAAAAAGUUGUUUUUGGAUUAUUUUUUUUAUGUAAAAGUUGUGCAAUAAUUGAUACAUUCGGUUGUACGAUUUGUUUGCACGGGAAAUCUGCCCUGUGUGGGGAAUUUGCCUAUUUUGUAAAACUGUUUUCGGCUUUCUUAGCCAUAUUUUUUUUCUUGAGCAUGACGUGAUCAAGCCAAGCAGACGAUCUCAGAACGUACGCCCGUCUCCUUGGCAACUCGUUUGACGUUGAUGUUUUACACUCCCUUCACCACAGCUUCAUGAAGAAGGGGAGAAGUAACACACAAACAGGUGUAGCUGUGAGCAAGAACGCUAACACCGCCGCCACCACCACCAACAACAACAGCGAUAUCGUCGCAAAAGGCUUCGACCUUGAAGAAGAAAAAGAAGAAGUAGAAGAAGACUACCACCACCACCACCAGCGGCGGCGGCGGUGGUGGGGAGAUGUCAAAAAUAUUAAUGUAAAAAACUGUAUAGUAGCCUCCUUGGUGAAAAAUCAGAAGAGGAAACUGAACUUUCGAACGAAGACCAGCAAUUUCGUGAGAGCAGGAAAUUCGAUUACAUCGAAUCCGGUACUCAACUAAAAAUCUAAACCCUGCCAUAAGUCGGGAAAACGGGAAAUACGAAAACAUCGACAAAACAAACCAAGGCAUCUGUUUGAACACCAGAAGAGAGGUAUUAGGAAAAUCCAUUGGUAGGGGUUCAUGAGUAACCAAACAACAAGAAAAAUCGUGGCUAUAGGCGCAGGCCUGGUCGUUUGGUAAGAAGCAUGUUUUCCAACCACAUGAUUCCGGCUUUCGUUUCACAGCGUGGUGCCUUGGUCGUUGACCUGCGGCCAUGCUGGGGCAACUCUCGGAAGAGUUUUAGUCAAACAAAUGGGCCCAAGUACUUAAGUUUUUAUUUCAAGUCUGGUAUUUAUUUUAGCGGUGAUCUUUGCCGAACCGCAAAGUUACAUCUUGAUAACCGGUGUUGGGUGUUGGUGUGUUUACGUCUCCUUAACUUUGUGUUUCAGCAAAAAAAAAAAAGGGCCGAUUGAAUAAGUUCCAGGCUUAAAAAAAAACUUUUUGGGGGCGAUUCGUUCGAGUAAAGAAUUCUUAAAGGUGCUGCCCCAGAACAGAACAACGGCAACAAUAACAGAGCACCAUAAAAGAAUUAGAAAGAUUUAUAAGAAAAGGUAAUUCAAUAUAAAAGUGGUUUCUUUCCACCCCAGGACCUUCUUAAAAUCUUUGACCCAUGACAGGUUUACCACAUAAUUCUCCGGUGUUCUUGACAUAAGCGACCUUACGUGGACAUGAAGCGUCGCUCAUUGGGGAAAUAUGCGGGUUGCUGUAGUAGCAAGAACUGUUGAAGGGAAGGGAGGUAAUUUGCUUUGUGUCUGUCAACAAGCGGUUUUCGACAAUAAUUAAUGGUGUAAAAGCAGAAAUAACAGUGAUGAAAAAGAAAAAAAAAACAAAAAACAAACAAACAAGCACGCAACACAUAUAUAAAAUUAAAAAGAGGUGAAGGUGGGGGAAAUCAAAACUUGUGGACAAAAUGCUUUUAAUAGUUUGAAUGUGAUCAAUAUGUUCAACAAGGGUGAUUAGGGUCAAUAACCAAUGAUUAUUUUAGUAAACAGCCACCCAUGGGUCAAAUUUACUUACUUAAUGAGCUAAAAGAAAAAACAAAAACGACAAAAACGAAAUGAGAAUACAUACUUAGAGAUAUACGUACGCACACAGACACAAACACAUAUGUAUGUGUGUGUAUAUAUAUUUAUAUAUAUAUA
Octopus bimaculoides (California two-spot octopus) is the source of this 1775-nucleotide long non-coding RNA. The record is from RefSeq and is a predicted model, not a curated record. NCBI's taxonomy places the organism in Eukaryota, Metazoa, Mollusca, Cephalopoda, Octopoda, Octopodidae.